This 553-nucleotide long non-coding RNA is filed under the name Lupinus angustifolius (narrow-leaved blue lupine). RNAcentral's name for it is "long non-coding RNA (LANG_LNC002847)". Lineage: Eukaryota; Viridiplantae; Streptophyta; Magnoliopsida; Fabales; Fabaceae. The record is from RNAcentral.
GUCUCUAUCCUUGCCUUCUCAAAUCUCAGCCGACGGAUACAUCUAUUCAUCACCACCACCACCCAAAAAGUACCCUCCGGUGUCUCCUCCUUAUCACUACCCUUCACCACCACCACCACCAGUGCACUCACCACCACCUCCUUAUCACUACCCUUCCCCACCACCUCCUAAGAAGGCUCCAUCUCCUUCUUACCAUUACUCUUCUCCACCACCACCUCCAAAGAAGACUUACAAGUACCAUUCUCCUCCUCCACCAGUGCAUGUUGCCCCUCCAAAGGCACCAUACCAUUAUGCAUCACCCCCUCCUCCUCCUAAGAAGCCAUACAAGUACCCUUCUCCACCACCUCCGGUGGUUGUUGUAAGCCCACCAAAGGCUCCUUACCAUUAUCCAUCACCACCACCCCCUCCCAAGAAGUCUCCAGCAUACCAUUACCAUUCUCCUCCACCACCUAAGGCUCCUUACCACUAUGCAUCCCCUCCACCACCUCCUAAGAAACCAUACAAGUACUCAUCACCCCCUCCACCAGUGCAUGUUUACCCUCACCCUCACCCA